CAAAUUGUUCAUAGUAAUAAAGUAUAAGGUCUUUUAGGCUAACUGACAGUGCCAUGGACACCAUGUUAACCUCUGUGACCUGCAGAUGAGUUCCAGAUGAGUUCCUGGAAAAUCUAAAGUAAGUGGAAGACCAUGAAAAGAUGAAGAAAUGAUCAACCCCUGUGGCCUUACUUAACUUUGAGACAUUCUCUAUUGUUCCUUAUUCCCACCCUAAUUGAUAGGACUAUUGGACUUUGUCACUGACCUUGGUCAACCUUC
Molecule: long non-coding RNA, 258 nt
Organism: Sapajus apella (tufted capuchin)
Lineage: Eukaryota; Metazoa; Chordata; Mammalia; Primates; Cebidae
Exons: 3
Source: RefSeq, a predicted model, not a curated record